Molecule: microRNA precursor, 209 nt
Organism: Oryza sativa Indica Group (long-grained rice)
Lineage: Eukaryota; Viridiplantae; Streptophyta; Magnoliopsida; Poales; Poaceae
Rfam family: MIR812 microRNA precursor family
Source: Rfam
UUUAAAUACAGUUAUGAGUUUCUAUGUCUAACGUUUGAUUGUCUGUCUUAUUUGAAUUUUUUUUAUAAUUGAUAUUUUUAUUGUUAUUAGAUGAUAAAACAUGAAAAGUACAUUAGGCUUGACUUUUUUUAAAAGUUUUUUUUUCAUAAAAUUUUCAAAUAAAACGGAUGGUCAAACGUUGAACAUGAAAACCCACGAUUGCACUUAAA